CUACGGGGCGCUCCAGUGGGGAAUCUUAGACAAUGGGGGAAACCCUGAUCUAGCCAUGCCGCGUGAGCGACGACGGCCCUAGGGUUGUAAAGCUCUUUCAGCAGGGAAGAUAAUGACGGUACCUGCAGAAGAAGUCCCGGCUAACUCCGUGCCAGCAGCCGCGGUAAUACGGAGGGGACUAGCGUUGUUCGGAAUUACUGGGCGUAAAGCGCGCGUAGGCGGAUUGUUAAGUCGGGGGUGAAAUCCCGGGGCUCAACCCCGGAACUGCCCUCGAUACUGGCAGUCUUGAGUUCGAGAGAGGUGAGUGGAAUUCCGAGUGUAGAGGUGAAAUUCGUAGAUAUUCGGAGGAACACCAGUGGCGAAGGCGGCUCACUGGCUCGAUACUGACGCUGAGGUGCGAAAGCGUGGGGAGCAAACAGGAUUAGAUACCCCUGUAGUC
This 439-nucleotide ribosomal RNA is filed under the name uncultured bacterium. RNAcentral's name for it is "partial 16S ribosomal RNA". It matches the Rfam family "Bacterial small subunit ribosomal RNA", at positions 339 to 795 of the family's 1533-position model. The record is from RNAcentral.